This 198-nucleotide ribosomal RNA is filed under the name uncultured bacterium. RNAcentral's name for it is "partial 16S ribosomal RNA". It matches the Rfam family "Bacterial small subunit ribosomal RNA", at positions 328 to 539 of the family's 1533-position model. The record is from RNAcentral.
ACGCUCGACACCUACGGGAGGCAGCAGUGGGGAAUAUUGCACAAUGGGGGAAACCCUGAUGCAGCGACGCCGCGUGGAGGAAGAAGGUCUUCGGAUUGUAAACUCCUGUUGUUGGGGAAAAAGAGGAUGGUACCCAACAAGGAAGUGACGGCUAACUACGUGCCAGCAGCAGCGGUAAUCUGAGCGGGCUGGCAAGGC